GACGGAGGAUGCAAGCGUUAUCCGGAAUGAUUGGGCGUAAAGCGUCCGCAGGUGGCAGUUCAAGUCUGCUGUCAAAGACCGGGGCUUAACUUCGGAAAGGCAGUGGAAACUGAACAGCUAGAGUAUGGUAGGGGCAGAGGGAAUUCCUGGUGUAGCGGUGAAAUGCGUAGAGAUCAGGAAGAACAUCGGUGGCGAAGGCGGGUCUCUGGGCAAUUCCUGACGCUGAGGCGCGAAAGCGUGGGGAGCAAACGGG
RNAcentral lists this ribosomal RNA (253 nucleotides) under uncultured bacterium. Its description in RNAcentral is "partial 16S ribosomal RNA". It matches the Rfam family "Bacterial small subunit ribosomal RNA", at positions 524 to 776 of the family's 1533-position model. The record is from RNAcentral.